AAAGCAAGAGAAGGUAUGGGUAUAAGAGAUUUACACACUUUUAACAUGGCAAUGUUAGCUAAACAAUGUUGGAGAUUAUUAUGGGACCUAGAUUCUCUUUGUACCAAAGUUCUGAGAGACAGAUACUACCCUGGUGGAAACCGGUUAAAAGCAAAGUUGAACGGUGGAAGCUUAUUUACUUGGCAAAGUAUCAUAGUUGCGCUAUAA
RNAcentral lists this ribosomal RNA (207 nucleotides) under Triticum aestivum (bread wheat). RNAcentral's name for it is "partial small subunit ribosomal RNA". The record is from RNAcentral. Lineage: Eukaryota; Viridiplantae; Streptophyta; Magnoliopsida; Poales; Poaceae.